This is a transfer RNA of Firmicutes bacterium CAG:102, 74 nucleotides long. It matches the Rfam family "tRNA". Rfam says of the family: Transfer RNA (tRNA) molecules are approximately 80 nucleotides in length. The record is from Rfam. NCBI's taxonomy places the organism in Bacteria, Bacillati, Bacillota.
CGGUGCGUGGCCCAGCUUGGUAGGGCGCAGCGUUCGGGUCGCUGAGGUCGUGGGUUCAAAUCCCGUCGCACCGA